Molecule: unclassified non-coding RNA, 253 nt
Filed under: uncultured Myxococcales bacterium
Lineage: Bacteria; Pseudomonadati; Myxococcota; Myxococcia; Myxococcales
Description: contains 16S-23S intergenic spacer region
Rfam family: Bacterial small subunit ribosomal RNA
Source: RNAcentral
UACGGAGGGUGCAAACGUUGCUCGGAAUCAUUGGGCGUAAAGCGCACGUAGGCGGCCGGCCAAGUUGGAUGUGAAAGCCCUGGGCUCAACCUAGGACGUGCAUUCAAAACUGGUCGGCUUGAGUUCCGGAGGGGCCCAGAGAAUUCCCGGUGUAGAGGUGAAAUUCGUAGAUAUCGGGAGGAAUACCAGUGGCGAAGGCGCUGGGCUGGACGGAAACUGACGCUGAGGUGCGAAAGCGUGGGGAGCAAACAGG